Non-coding RNA from Pelobates cultripes (western spadefoot toad), 541 nucleotides. The record is from the annotation of a GenBank genome assembly. Lineage: Eukaryota; Metazoa; Chordata; Amphibia; Anura; Pelobatidae.
GUUACACGUGGUCUGCAGUUGUGAGGCCAGUUGGAUGUACUGCCAAAUUCUCUGAAACGCCUUUGGAGACUGCUUAUUGUAGAGAAAUGAACAUUCAAUUCAAGGGAAUAGCUCUGGUGGACAUUCCUGCAAUCAGCAUGCCAAUCUCACGCUCCCUCAAAACUUGCAUAAUCUGUGCCAUUGCGCUGUGUGAUAAAACUGCACAUUUUAAAGUGGCCAGCCUAAGGCACAUCUUUGCAAUAAUCAUGCUGUCUAAUCAGCAUAUUGAUAUGCCACACCUGUGAGGUGGAUGGAUUAUCUUGGCUCACUAACACAGAUUUAGACAGAUUUGUGAACAAUAUUUGAGAGAAAUAGGCCUUUUGUGUACAUAGAAAGUCUUCGAUCUUUGAGUUCAGCUCAUGAAAAAUGGGGGUAAAAACAAAAGUAUUGCGUUUAUAAUUUUGUUCAGUGUACAUACAUAUACAAAGCAUAGGGAAACACAUAUAAAGAACAUCUAGGAUAAUAUAUGACACUGUUUUCUUAUCUGUAACUUUAUUCUUUU